Molecule: long non-coding RNA, 540 nt
Filed under: Ananas comosus (pineapple)
Lineage: Eukaryota; Viridiplantae; Streptophyta; Magnoliopsida; Poales; Bromeliaceae
Description: long non-coding RNA (ACOM_LNC001838)
Source: RNAcentral
UUUUAAAAGUGUCGGUAAUUUAGCCAGCAGCACUUUUGUUGACCUGUACCGACAUUUAAAAGUGUCGCUAUAGACCGUUUUUGUUGUAGUGAUUGGAACUAUCUAAAAACCAAAUUUCAUAGUUUUUCAACAUCAUUUAUCAAGCAAUCAAAAGGUCUCAAAAAUGAUUAUUUUAACGGUCUAUGUGGCAGGUUUUUAAGUUCAACGGUGUAGAACAAUCCAAAUUACAUGAAUCUUUAAUAAAAAAUUAUAUUUAAUAUUAAUAGCAAGAUCAAUACUUCUGAUUUGAAACUUGAGUUUUUUAUCACUAUUUUUUAUGAAAUUUUUAUUUUCAGCCGUUCAUUUUGAGACUCACUAAGCAAAGAAAGUCAAAAAAUUAUGAAAUUUGGUUUCUAGAUAGUUCCAAAUAGCGUAUAUCAUGUCUAACAAAAUAGAUCGCCAAAUCGGAUGUCCCAUCAUCAAAAAUAACUUACAAGUAUGAAGACUUCCAUACUUUCGAAAGCAUAGAAGCCUAGCUCAAAGGAACAUAUAAUAAAGCAC